Molecule: ribosomal RNA, 761 nt
Filed under: uncultured Inocybe
Lineage: Eukaryota; Fungi; Basidiomycota; Agaricomycetes; Agaricales; Cortinariaceae
Description: partial 28S ribosomal RNA
Rfam family: Eukaryotic large subunit ribosomal RNA
Source: RNAcentral
GAAUCCCGUCUUUGACACGGACUGCCUGCAUGUUAUGGUGCGCUCUCAAAUAGUCGAGUUGUUUGGGAAUGCAGCUCAAAAUGGGUGGUAAAUGCCAUCUAAAGCUAAAUAUUGGCGAGAGACCGAUAGCGAACAAGUACCGUGAGGGAAAGAUGAAAAGAACUUUGGAAAGAGAGUUAAACAGUACGUGAAAUUGCUGAAAGGGAAACGCUUGAAGUCAGUCGCGUCGGCUAGAAAUCAACCUUGCUUUUGCUUGGUGUACUUUCUUGUUGAUGGGUCAGCAUCAAUUUUGACCGUUGGAUAAAGUCGUUGGGAAUGUGGCAUCUUAGGAUGUGUUAUAGCCCAUCGUCGCAUACAGCGGUUGGGAUUGAGGAACUCAGCACGCCCUUCUGGGGACGGGUUUCGACCACGUUUCGUGCUUAGGAUGCUGGCAUAAUGGCUUUAAUCGACCCGUCUUGAAACACGGACCAAGGAGUCUAACAUGCCUGCGAGUGUUCGGGUGGAAAACCCGUGCGCGCAAUGAAAGUGAAAGUUGGGACCUCUGUCGUGGAGGGCACCGACGCCCGGACCAGACCUUCUGUGACGGUUCUGCGGUAGAGCAUGUAUGUUAGGACCCGAAAGAUGGUGAACUAUGCCUGAAUAGGGUGAAGCCAGAGGAAACCCUGGUGGAGGCUCGUAGCGAUUCUGACGUGCAAAUCGAUCGUCAAAUUUGGGUAUAGGGGCGAAAGACUAAUCGAACCAUCUAGUAGCUGGUUCCUGCC